Molecule: unclassified non-coding RNA, 206 nt
Filed under: Glomus sp.
Lineage: Eukaryota; Fungi; Glomeromycota; Glomeromycetes; Glomerales; Glomeraceae
Description: partial contains 5.8S ribosomal RNA and internal transcribed spacer 2
Rfam family: 5.8S ribosomal RNA (bases 1-65)
Source: RNAcentral
GUGAAUCAUCAAAUUUUUGAACGCAAAUUGCACUCUCUUCGGAGAGUAUGCCUGUUUGAGGGUCAGCCUAAAAAAAAUCGACGUAGUCGCUAUUUCGCGGUGACAUUCGUCGGAAAUUGGGUCAUCUUAAACCUUUGGGUUUUUUAAGCGGCUUAAAUUUUUUUUUAGGAUUCAACGAACGUUUCUAAGAUUUUAUUUCUAAAAAC